RNAcentral lists this ribosomal RNA (32 nucleotides) under Oospira aenigmatica. RNAcentral describes it as "partial 5.8S rRNA". Lineage: Eukaryota; Metazoa; Mollusca; Gastropoda; Stylommatophora; Clausiliidae. The record is from RNAcentral.
GAAAGACCAGAAAAGAAAUGAAAAAAAAAAAA